AAACACUUUCAGCAAUGGAUGUCUUGGCUCCCACACCGAUGAAGAACGCAGUGAAAUGCGAUACGUCAUGCGAAUUGCACAAUCAGUGAGUCAUCAAAACUUUGAACGCAUCUUGCACUUCC
This 122-nucleotide ribosomal RNA is filed under the name Pedospumella sp. RNAcentral describes it as "5.8S ribosomal RNA". It matches the Rfam family "5.8S ribosomal RNA", at positions 1 to 120 of the family's 154-position model. From Rfam's summary of the family: 5.8S ribosomal RNA (5.8S rRNA) is a component of the large subunit of the eukaryotic ribosome. It is transcribed by RNA polymerase I as part of the 45S precursor that also contains 18S and 28S rRNA. Functionally, it is thought that 5.8S rRNA may be involved in ribosome translocation. The record is from RNAcentral. Lineage: Eukaryota; Chrysophyceae; Chromulinales; Chromulinaceae.